RNAcentral lists this ribosomal RNA (430 nucleotides) under Pseudomonadota bacterium. RNAcentral describes it as "Proteobacteria bacterium partial 16S ribosomal RNA". It matches the Rfam family "Bacterial small subunit ribosomal RNA", at positions 355 to 776 of the family's 1533-position model. Lineage: Bacteria; Pseudomonadati; Pseudomonadota. The record is from RNAcentral.
UGGGGAAUAUUGGACAAUGGGCGGAAGCCUGAUCCAGCCAUGCCGCGUGUGUGAAGAAGGCCUUUUGGUUGUAAAGCACUUUAAGCGAGGAGGAGGCUCUUCUAGUUAAUACCUAGGAUGAGUGGACGUUACUCGCAGAAUAAGCACCGGCUAACUCUGUGCCAGCAGCCGCGGUAAUACAGAGGGUGCGAGCGUUAAUCGGAUUUACUGGGCGUAAAGCGUGCGUAGGCGGCUGAUUAAGUCGGAUGUGAAAUCCCUGAGCUUAACUUAGGAAUUGCAUUCGAUACUGGUCAGCUAGAGUAUGGGAGAGGAUGGUAGAAUUCCAGGUGUAGCGGUGAAAUGCGUAGAGAUCUGGAGGAAUACCGAUGGCGAAGGCAGCCAUCUGGCCUAAUACUGACGCUGAGGUACGAACGCAUGGGGAGCAAACAGG